UGGGGAUCUGCCCUAAAAGUGGGGGACAACCCGGGGAAACCCGGGCUAAUACCGCAUAACCUCUUCGGAGUAAAGCUGGGGACCUUCGGGCCUGGCGCUUUAGGAUGAACCUGCGUCCGAUUAGCUAGUUGGUGAGGUAAGGGCUCACCAAGGCGACGAUCGGUAGCUGGUCUGAGAGGAUGACCAGCCACACUGGGACUGAGACACGGCCCAGACACCUACGGGAGGCAG
Molecule: ribosomal RNA, 231 nt
Filed under: uncultured bacterium
Lineage: Bacteria
Description: partial 16S ribosomal RNA
Rfam family: Bacterial small subunit ribosomal RNA
Source: RNAcentral